Molecule: long non-coding RNA, 263 nt
Filed under: Elaeis guineensis (African oil palm)
Lineage: Eukaryota; Viridiplantae; Streptophyta; Magnoliopsida; Arecales; Arecaceae
Description: long non-coding RNA (EGUI_LNC054750)
Source: RNAcentral
UCUGAAGCUACUAAGGAAGCCUUUUGAUUUAAGAAAUUCAUUGCGGAGCUAGAUGUGAUGCCAUCAGAUGCCAUUACACUGUACUGCGACAACAACGACACCAUAUCCUUGCUAAGGAGCCCAAGUCUCACCAGAAGUCUAAGCAUAUAGAGCAGCAAUUUCACAUCAUAUGCGAAUACCUCGAGAAGAAGUUGUCGAGAUGCAGAGAGUCAACUCUACGCUGAACAUGGCAGACCCGCUGACCAAGCCUCUUAGCCAGCAGA